RNAcentral lists this ribosomal RNA (720 nucleotides) under Lysobacter sp. Y4_348_8. Its description in RNAcentral is "bacterial SSU rRNA". It matches the Rfam family "Bacterial small subunit ribosomal RNA", at positions 62 to 771 of the family's 1533-position model. The record is from RNAcentral. Lineage: Bacteria; Pseudomonadati; Pseudomonadota; Gammaproteobacteria; Lysobacterales; Lysobacteraceae.
UCGACGGCAGCACAGAGGAGCUUGCUCCCUUGGGUGGCGAGUGGCGGACGGGUGAGGAAAACGUCGGAAUCUGCCUAUUUGUGGGGGAUAACGUAGGGAAACUUACGCUAAUACCGCAUACGACCUACGGGUGAAAGCGGAGGACCUUCGGGCUUCGCGCAGAUAGAUGAGCCGACGUCGGAUUAGCUAGUUGGGGGGGUAAAGGCCCACCAAGGCGACGAUCCGUAGCUGGUCUGAGAGGAUGAUCAGCCACACUGGAACUGAGACACGGUCCAGACUCCUACGGGAGGCAGCAGUGGGGAAUAUUGGACAAUGGGCGCAAGCCUGAUCCAGCCAUGCCGCGUGUGUGAAGAAGGCCUUCGGGUUGUAAAGCACUUUUGUCCGGAAAGAAAAGCACUGGGUUAAUACCCUGGUGUCAUGACGGUACCGGAAGAAUAAGCACCGGCUAACUUCGUGCCAGCAGCCGCGGUAAUACGAAGGGUGCAAGCGUUACUCGGAAUUACUGGGCGUAAAGCGUGCGUAGGCGGUUUGUUAAGUCUGAUGUGAAAGCCCUGGGCUCAACCUGGGAAUGGCAUUGGAUACUGGCAAUCUAGAAUGUGGUAGAGGGUGGCGGAAUUCCCGGUGUAGCAGUGAAAUGCGUAGAUAUCGGGAGGAACAUCCGUGGCGAAGGCGGCCACCUGGACCAACAUUGACGCUGAGGCACGAAAGCGUGGGGAGCAA